GCUUACGGCCACACCGGCCUGAGUACGCCUGAUCUCGUCCGAUCUCGGAAGCUAAGCAGGGUCGGGCCUGGUUAGUACUUGGAUGGGAGACCGCCUGGCAAUACCAGGUGCUGUAAGCU
This 119-nucleotide ribosomal RNA is filed under the name Oncorhynchus mykiss (rainbow trout). The record is from RNAcentral. Lineage: Eukaryota; Metazoa; Chordata; Actinopteri; Salmoniformes; Salmonidae.